Molecule: ribosomal RNA, 468 nt
Filed under: uncultured bacterium
Lineage: Bacteria
Description: partial 16S ribosomal RNA
Rfam family: Bacterial small subunit ribosomal RNA
Source: RNAcentral
GACGAACGCUGGCGGCGUGCUUAACACACGCGAGUCGAACGGAAAGGCCCUGCUUUUGUGGGGUGCUCGAGUGGCGAACGGGUGAGUAACACGUGAGUAACCUGCCCUUGACUUUGGGAUAACUUCAGGAAACUGGGGCUAAUACCGGAUAGGAGCUCCUGCUGCAUGGUGGGGGUUGGAAAGUUUCGGCGGUUGGGGAUGGACUCGCGGCUUAUCAGCUUGUUGGUGGGGUAGUGGCUUACCAAGGCUUUGACGGGUAGCCGGCCUGAGAGGGUGACCGGCCACAUUGGGACUGAGAUACGGCCCAGACUCCUACGGGAGGCAGCAGUGGGGAAUAUUGCACAAUGGGCGGAAGCCUGAUGCAGCAACGCCGCGUGCGGGAUGACGGCCUUCGGGUUGUAAACCGCUUUCGCCUGUGACGAAGCGUGAGUGACGGUAAUGGGUAAAGAAGCACCGGCUAACUACGUG